UCUCCGUAGGUGAACCUGCGGAAGGAUCCUUAUUGUAUAACCGAGGUGCUAGGGCUGUCGCUGACCCGAAAGGUCGUGCACGCCCGAGUGCCCUCACACACAUCCAUCUCACCCCUAUGUGCACCACCGCGUGGGUCCCCCUUUGGCUUGUUCGGAGGGGGGCUUACGUUUUCACACAAACUUUGUAUGCAGUGUAGAAUGUAUUUUUUGUUUUUGCGAUCACGCAAUCAAUACAACUUUCAACAACGGAUCUCUUGGCUCUG
RNAcentral lists this unclassified non-coding RNA (263 nucleotides) under plant metagenome. RNAcentral's name for it is "partial contains small subunit ribosomal RNA, internal transcribed spacer 1, and 5.8S ribosomal RNA". The record is from RNAcentral.